RNAcentral lists this unclassified non-coding RNA (152 nucleotides) under soil metagenome. RNAcentral's name for it is "partial internal transcribed spacer 1". The record is from RNAcentral.
CAGGACUCGCAAGACUCCUUAACCCCUGUGAACUUACUGUUUAUACGUUGCUUCGGCGGUGCUCCGGGUCCGCCCCGGAGCGCUGCGCCCGCCGGCAGCCUACCCAAUUCUGUUUCUCUGCGUUGGCAUCUCGAGAAAAGCAAAAUAAGUUA